This 395-nucleotide ribosomal RNA is filed under the name uncultured bacterium. RNAcentral's name for it is "partial 16S ribosomal RNA". It matches the Rfam family "Bacterial small subunit ribosomal RNA", at positions 359 to 774 of the family's 1533-position model. The record is from RNAcentral.
AGAUUGCACAACGGAGGAAACUCUGAUGCUGCGACGCCGCGUGAGCGAUGAAGGCUUUCGAGUGGUAAAGCCCUGUUCUAGGGGGCGAUAAUGACGGUACCCUAGGAGGCAGCCCCGGCUAACUACGUGCCAGCAGCCGCGGUAAUACGAAGGGGGCGAGCGUUGUCCGGAAUUAUUGGGCGUAAAGGGUUCGCAGGCGGCCUUUUAAGUCAGAUGUGAAAGCCCACGGCUUAACCGUGGUAAGCAUUUGAAACUGGAAGGCUUGAGUUAAGGAGAGGAAAGUGGAAUUCCUAGUGUAGCGGUGAAAUGCGUAGAUAUUAGGAGGAAUACCAGUGGCGAAGGCGACUUUCUGGACUUAUACUGACGCUGAGGAACGAAAGCGUGGGGAGCAAACA